This 420-nucleotide ribosomal RNA is filed under the name uncultured prokaryote. RNAcentral's name for it is "bacterial SSU rRNA". It matches the Rfam family "Bacterial small subunit ribosomal RNA", at positions 355 to 774 of the family's 1533-position model. The record is from RNAcentral.
UAAGGAAUAUUGCUCAAUGGGAGAAAUCCUGAAGCAGCAACGCCGCGUGGAGGAUGAAGGGCUUUCAGCUUGUAAACUCCUGUAAAGAAGGAAAAAAUUCCCAUUAGAUGGGAAAUGAUGGUACUUCUAAAGUAAGCCCCGGCUAACUACGUGCCAGCAGCCGCGGUAAUACGUAGGGGGCAAGCGUUGUCCGGAUGUCCUGGGGGUAAAGGGUGCUCAGGCGGAUUUGUAAGUCAGAGGUGAAAUCUCACGGCUUAACUGUGAAACUGACUUUGAUACUGCAAGUCUAGAGUAUUGAAGGGGGGGAUGGAAUGUCUGGUGUAGCAGUGAAAUGCGUAGAUAUCAGAUAGAACACCAAUGGCGAAGGCAGUCACUUGGUCCAUUACUGACGCUAAAGCACGAAAGCGUGGGUAGCAAACA